AUUGAACGCUGGCGGGAGGCCUAACACACGCAAGUCCCACGAGUGGCGGACGAGUGCGUAAUGUCUGGGAAACUGACUGAUGGAGGGGGAUAACUACUGGAAAGUGUGGCUAAUACCGCAUACCCUCAGAUGUGCCAAGAUGGGAUUAGAUGGUUGGUGGGGUAACGGCGCACCAAGGCGAAGAUCCAUAGCGGGUCUGCGAGGAUGACCAGCCACAUGGGAACUGCGACACGGUCCAGACUCCUACGGGAGGCAGCAGUGGGGAAUAUUGCACAAUGGGAGCAAGCCUGAUGCAGCCAUGCCGCGUGUAGGAAGAAGGCCUUCGGUUUGUAAAGUACUUUCAGCGGGGAGGCGUUACCCGCAGAAGAAGCACCGGCUAACUCCGUGCCAGCCGCCGCGGUAAUAC
This 406-nucleotide ribosomal RNA is filed under the name uncultured bacterium. RNAcentral describes it as "partial 16S ribosomal RNA". It matches the Rfam family "Bacterial small subunit ribosomal RNA", at positions 30 to 526 of the family's 1533-position model. The record is from RNAcentral.